AUCUAGUUAGUUUAGCUAAAAUAUUAAAUUGUGGAUUUAAAGAAGGAUGUCAUUAGAUA
RNAcentral lists this transfer RNA (59 nucleotides) under Alectorobius peruvianus. Its description in RNAcentral is "tRNA-His". Lineage: Eukaryota; Metazoa; Arthropoda; Arachnida; Ixodida; Argasidae. The record is from RNAcentral.